CCGGGUGCCUGACGGGCCCGGCAACGCGAGAGCGCCGCCCUUGCGGCGCUUCCCAUGCUCAGAUUGCUCACAGGAGGAUUUGGAUAUGAGGA
This 92-nucleotide small RNA is filed under the name Sphingomonas sp. Root720. Its description in RNAcentral is "Repression of heat shock gene expression (ROSE) element". It matches the Rfam family "Repression of heat shock gene expression (ROSE) element". From Rfam's summary of the family: This family represents a 5' UTR cis-regulatory element found in heat shock mRNAs and is known as the ROSE (repression of heat shock gene expression) element. The ROSE element is a negative regulator of heat shock gene expression. The secondary structure is thought to be regulated by temperature. Lineage: Bacteria; Pseudomonadati; Pseudomonadota; Alphaproteobacteria; Sphingomonadales; Sphingomonadaceae. The record is from Rfam by way of RNAcentral.